AUUGAACGCUGGCGGCAUGCCUAACACAUGCAAGUCGAACGGAGGUAGGGGCAACUCUACUUCAGUGGCGGACGGGUGAGGAAUGCGUCGGAAUCUACCCUAUGGUGGGGGAUAACACAGGGAAACUUGUGCUAAUACCGCAUAAUGUCGAGAGACCAAAGCAGGGGACCGCAAGGCCUUGCGCGAUAGGAUGAGCCGACGCCCGAUUAGCUUGUUGGUAGGGUAAUGGCCUACCAAGGCGACGAUCGGUAGCUGGUCUGAGAGGAUGAUCAGCCACACUGGGACUGAGACACGGCCCAGACUCCUACGGGAGGCAGCAGUGGGGAAUAUUGGACAAUGGGCGCAAGCCUGAUCCAGCAAUGCCGCGUGUGUGAAGAAGGCCUGCGGGUUGUAAAGCACUUUUGUUCGGGAAGAAAUCAUGCUGGUUAAUACCUGGUAUGGAUGACGGUACCGAAAGAAUAAGCACCGGCUAACUUCGUGCCAGCAGCCGCGGUAA
Molecule: ribosomal RNA, 496 nt
Filed under: uncultured bacterium
Lineage: Bacteria
Description: bacterial SSU rRNA
Rfam family: Bacterial small subunit ribosomal RNA
Source: RNAcentral